Molecule: ribosomal RNA, 253 nt
Filed under: uncultured bacterium
Lineage: Bacteria
Description: partial 16S ribosomal RNA
Rfam family: Bacterial small subunit ribosomal RNA
Source: RNAcentral
UACGUAGGGGGCUAGCGUUGUCCGGAAUCAUUGGGCGUAAAGAGCGUGUAGGCGGCCAGGUAGGUCCGCUGUGAAAGUCCGAGGCUCAACCUCGGAAUGUCGGCGGAAACCCUCUGGCUAGAGUCCGGAAGAGGAGAGUGGAAUUCCCGGUGUAGCGGUGAGAUGCGCAGAUAUCAGGAAGAACACCAAUGGCGAAAGCAGCUCUCUGGGACGGUACUGACGCUGAGACGCGAAAGCGUGGGGAGCGAACAGG